RNAcentral lists this ribosomal RNA (259 nucleotides) under uncultured Staphylococcus sp. RNAcentral describes it as "partial 16S ribosomal RNA". It matches the Rfam family "Bacterial small subunit ribosomal RNA", at positions 103 to 354 of the family's 1533-position model. Lineage: Bacteria; Bacillati; Bacillota; Bacilli; Caryophanales; Staphylococcaceae. The record is from RNAcentral.
CGGGUGAGUAACACGUGGAUAACCUACCUAUAAGACUGGGAUAACUUCGGGAAACCGGAGCUAAUACCGGAUAAUAUAUUGAACCGCAUGGUUCAAUAGUGAAAGACGGUUUUGCUGUCACUUAUAGAUGGAUCCGCGCUGCAUUAGCUAGUUGGUAAGGUAACGGCUUACCAAGGCAACGAUGCGUAGCCGACCUGAGAGGGUGAUCGGCCGCACUGGAACUGAGACACGGUCCAGACUCCUACGGGAGGCAGCAGAC